RNAcentral lists this ribosomal RNA (252 nucleotides) under uncultured bacterium. RNAcentral's name for it is "partial 16S ribosomal RNA". It matches the Rfam family "Bacterial small subunit ribosomal RNA", at positions 524 to 776 of the family's 1533-position model. The record is from RNAcentral.
UACGGAGGAUGCGAGCGUUAUCCGGAUUUAUUGGGUUUAAAGGGUGCGUAGGCGGCCUGCCAAGUCAGCGGUAAAAUUGCGGGGCUCAACCCCGUACAGCCGUUGAAACUGCCGGGCUCGAGUGGGCGAGAAGUAUGCGGAAUGCGUGGUGUAGCGGUGAAAUGCAUAGGUAUCACGCAGAACCCCGAUUGCGAAGGCAGCAUACCGGCGCCCUACUGACGCUGAGGCACGAAAGUGCGGGGAUCAAACAGG